UGUAGAGAUGUACAUAGUUCUCUGCUCUCAGUUCUGACCUUCAGCUGGGAGCCCAGAGGUCAGCAGAGGAUGCCACACUUCCUAUCUCUCUCCUCGCCCCACAGGACAGAUCUGCAGUUCUCCCUCCCUCCCUCAGACCCAACAGGAAGCACUUCCCAACCCUGCUUCAUUAGGAAUUCACACAAAUGGCCAGAAGGCCCAGCCAUGAAAGUCCUCCAUGACCCCAGGAGUCACGCGGGACCGGAGAGAGGCAGCAUCAUGGGAACAUCCUGUGCUGUUUGGCCCAUCCCUCCCCCGUGUCAUCGAUGGCCAGCCAGCGUACAUGAUGAGACGCCUCUUGAGGGUUCGACCAUGAGGCAGGGGUUUAGUACCUGACUGACUGGGAGGGUUAUGGUCCGGAGGAGAGGUGCUGGGUCCCCGCUAAAGACAUCUUGGACCCGGCCCUCAUCGCCGACUUUCACCGCCGGCACACCAGUCAACCAGGUUUUUGACCCUUGCCUGUCCUGACCCUGUACGCGCCUGCCUGACCACUCUUCCUAUCCC
Salmo salar (Atlantic salmon) is the source of this 543-nucleotide non-coding RNA. The record is from RefSeq and is a predicted model, not a curated record. NCBI's taxonomy places the organism in Eukaryota, Metazoa, Chordata, Actinopteri, Salmoniformes, Salmonidae.